UGAGGAUCCCGGUUGAUCCUGCCAAGGAAGCACACUCCGGUCAUAGAUUAAGCCAUGCAAGUCUGAGUUCAGGGAACGAAACCGCAUCCAGCUCAUUAACACACUCAGGACCUUCUUGGCAACGACCGAUGUCUUAUAGGGAUAGCCGAAGUAACUCUUGUGCUAAUACCCGCAAGUGGACCCUCCGAUACGAGAUAGGAGGCUCAAGUUGACCCUUCGGGGCCUGUCAUAAGGGUGAGCGACCUAUCAGCUAUUACUUAGGGUCUUUCCCUAUGUAGGCGAUGACGGGUAACGGGUGAUUAUCGUCAGAUUGCCGGAGAAGGAGCCUGAGAGACAGCUGCUAUGCCUACGGGCAGCAGCAGGCGCGUAAAUUACCCACUUUCAGGGGCAGAGGUGGUAAUGACCAGUUCCAGCUAGCGUCCUUCGGGGCCUUUUUGGAUAGGGAGGUUUGCAAAGAUUGCAGAGCAAUCUAGCAGAGGGCCAGUCUGGUGCCAGCAGCUGCGGUAAUUCCAGCUCUGCAUGCUUGCUCCCAUAUUGUUGCAGUUAAAACGCCCGUAGUCAAAGGUCUCACGAAGAGGCUGAUGCCGUCCACCACGAAUAAAACAGAGAGCUUAGGUAAUGGAUCAUGAAUGAUCAAGCGUGGUUUGGAUUAUUUACCUGCACGGAGGUAAGGCAAAAGGGAGCCAAAGGGGGUGGUGAUAUUCCGGGGCGAGCGGUGGAAUGCGUUGACCCUCGGGAGAUCCACAAAAGCGAAAGCAACCACCUAUAGGGUAUCCGUCGAUCAAGGGCGAAAGUAGGGGAGCGAACCGGAUUAGAGACCCGGGUAGUCCCUACUGUAAACUAUGUCGACAAGGGCUUAUCCACACGUGGGUAGAACUUGUUGAGAAAUCGUAGUGCAUGGAUUCUGGGGGAACUACGAUCGCAAGACUGAAACUUGAAGGAAUUGACGGAAGGGCACACAAGGGGUGGAGCCUGUGGCUCAAUUUGAAUCAACACGGGGAAACUUACCAGGACCAGAUGCUCUGGUGACUGACAGCCUGCCGGGCUUUCAGGAAGAGCUGUGGGUGGUGCAUGGCCGUUGGUGGUGCGUGGGUUGACCUGUCAUUCGUUUAUUCAGGUAACGAGCGAGACUACUAGCCCCUAUUAUCGACUCGAGACUCGCCACCGAGAGGAGAUCUAGGGGCGACAGCAUGGUUUCAACCAUGAGGAAGGUAGUAGCAAUAACAGGUCCGUGAUGUCCUUUAGAUGCCCUGGGCUGCACGCGUGCUACAGUGAGUGUGCCAGAGGGUCGCAAGCGUGCGAACACCCGCUACCCACUAAGCACACCCGUGGUUGGGAUUGAGCAUUGUAAUGAUGCUCAUGAACCAGGAAUCCCUUGUAAAUGCGUGUCAACAGCGCGCGUUGAAUACGUCCCUGCCCUUUGUACACACCGCCCGUCGCUCCUACCGAUUGGAUGACCUGGUAAAAAGAUCGGACUUCACGGAAAGGUCUUUGAAUCACGCCAUCUAGAGGAAGGAGAAGUCGUAACAAGGUAACGGUAGGUGAACCUGCAGCUG
This 1556-nucleotide ribosomal RNA is filed under the name uncultured Parabasalia sp. RNAcentral describes it as "SSU rRNA". It matches the Rfam family "Eukaryotic small subunit ribosomal RNA". Lineage: Eukaryota; Parabasalia. The record is from RNAcentral.